Molecule: non-coding RNA, 72 nt
Organism: Haemonchus placei
Lineage: Eukaryota; Metazoa; Nematoda; Chromadorea; Rhabditida; Trichostrongylidae
Source: Rfam
GUCUCAGUAGAGUAAGGGAUAGAGCACGGUGCCCAGAAAGCACAAGUACGGGUUCGAGUCCCGUCUGAGGCU